RNAcentral lists this small RNA (275 nucleotides) under Drosophila yakuba. Its description in RNAcentral is "GE28403". Lineage: Eukaryota; Metazoa; Arthropoda; Insecta; Diptera; Drosophilidae. The record is from RNAcentral.
UUCCACUCCGAUUCGGUUGUGCUUUAUAAAUUGGUCUAACAGAAUCGCACUUCUAACUAAGUAGCAAUGAAGCUCUUUCUACAUCUGCUUCUCUUUACUCUAAUACUAUACUACGUCUCCGACGAUGAGAAGAUAAAUCGAAUUUUAAAAGUAAAAAGAAAACUUGUUACCAGUUAAAAUGUAAAAUUUGUAAUGAUUACUAAUCAUUACAUUUAAAUAACUGGUUUGGUUUUACUUUUCCCAAGACCAUUUUUUAAAUAAAUAUUGUUUGUUUA